This 266-nucleotide ribosomal RNA is filed under the name uncultured bacterium. RNAcentral's name for it is "partial 16S ribosomal RNA". It matches the Rfam family "Bacterial small subunit ribosomal RNA", at positions 355 to 612 of the family's 1533-position model. The record is from RNAcentral.
UGGGGAAUAUUGCGCAAUGGGCGAAAGCCUGACGCAGCGACGCCGCGUGGGUGAUGAAGGCCUUCGGGUCGUAAAGCCCUGUCGGGAGGGACGAAACCUCGGUGACCUAAUACGUCACCGACCUGACGGUACCUCUUAAGGAAGCACCGGCUAACUCCGUGCCAGCAGCCGCGGUAAUACGGAGGGUGCGAGCGUUGUUCGGAAUUACUGGGCGUAAAGCGCGUGCAGGCGGUCUCUUAAGUCUGGUGUGAAAGCCCGGGGCUCAC